Homo sapiens (human) is the source of this 4706-nucleotide long non-coding RNA. RefSeq lists it as uncharacterized. Lineage: Eukaryota; Metazoa; Chordata; Mammalia; Primates; Hominidae. The transcript has 2 exons. The record is from RefSeq and is a predicted model, not a curated record.
AAUCAUGCCACUGCACUCCAGCCUUGGCAACAGAGCAAGAUGCUCUCUCUCUCUCUCUCUCUUUUUUAAAUGAUCAGUUUAGUGAUAACAGAGUGGAAACCACAUAUAAAUAAACUUUAUUACAAUAAUGUGUCCUCUACUAAUGAAAGUUAAGAUUUAUCUAACAUCUCUUAUGAACCAGCCCCUAUGCUAAGUGUUUCAUGUAAUUAUCUCAUAUAAUCUUUACCACAGCCUUUUAAGUUAGGUGCUGUUAUUAUAACCAUUUUACAGAUGAGGAAAUUGAGGCUCCGAAAGGUAAACUGUUUUGCCCAACAAUAUAUAGCUACAUGGUGAUAGAACUAGUGUUUGAAAGUUGGGCGGUCCGACUGUAAAAUCUCUUUCCUAAUCACUGUUCUAAUUGGUGCACAGAUUAUUAGAGUUAGACCUUAGUUGAACUUCCUAUUUUAGACAGAUGGAAGCAGAGGCCCUAGCAGAUUAAGGAUCUGCUUAACGUCUUCACCAACAGAAUGAGACUUGCUUCUACAUUGCCUCUCAACUGGAGAAGAGCUGGAAUGAGUCUUUUGAUUUUCGCCUAUAGAUUUACAGAAGAAUAUCUUUUGAGAAUUUGAGUAGAGAAUAUCCAUGCCAUGUAAAGUGGAAUCUUGACAAACUUGUACUCAUGAACCCCGUUAUGAGGUUGUCUAUUCAACCAUAAGAAACAUUUCUAAGUGACUAAAAACUAGCCAUAUUCUAGUAGGAGUCCCCUAUUCUACCUAGGUCUGUUCUGAUAAGAGAAACCUGGAGCAAUCUGUUUCAAAACAAUAAAUUUAUCUGAAGCUUCCAGAGGAGUCAUCUUUGAAAAACUCAUAAGCAAGGAGUUAACUGUUGUAAUAAGCCGAUGGUAAUAGUGCAGGUUUUAUUACUUUUGUUUUGGUUGGUUUUCUUUUCUUCUUUUUUUCUUUUUUGAGUUCAAUAAACCACACUGAAUGUUAAUAAUCCAUUAGUUCUAGAGGAAACAUUUUUAGCUCCAAGAAAAUUACUUUUUCCUCCCAAAUCUGAACCUGUAAACACCAAAGCUCUUUGUCUUAUAAAAAGGCUUAGCGUUAGUUGUUUCAACAAGAUUAGCCCUGUUGAUCUGAAGCACCUGUGCUUCCAGAAAAUGUAGGACAUUAUCAAUUUUUAACAUUUGUCCAGGAAGCUGUGCUUGGACUAAUGUUAUUUAUCCAGCUGGGUAUACUGACUAGGACAGAGCAGAUGAAAGUAGUUGGGGAUUGUGUAACAUCUAAGAUUGGCCCUGAUAAUCAAUCCAGCCUGGAGCACAUGGACAUGAUUACAAAAUACCAUCUUCCCUUUUUUUCAGGAUACUGAUAAAACAGAAGGCAGUGCUAUCUGCCAUAAUCCACUUCAAGAAUUCUGCGGACCUGUUUUUAGGUCACUUAGUUGUUCUGCUUAGUUUUCUGGAUGGUGAGCACACAGAAGGCACAAGAUGAAAACUCUAACACACAAUUUGCAUCAAUGACACCCUUGGGGUUGUUAAAAGAACAAAUAAAAAGGGGUGUGGGAGGAGGUCUGUGGAACUGUGUGCGCCACCUCCGUAUGGGCUUACUUUGGCCUUCUCCAGGGAGGAACUCUGUGCAACUGCAUCCCCAUUCCUGUCCCCUCCGCCUGCACACACUGGAAUAGCAAGAAGGCAGCAGAGAGCACACAAAAAGACACUCAGUAGGGGAAACAGUCCCACUGUUUAACCUUGGGUGUUCAAUGAACACAGUAGGGCUGGGGGCGGGAGGGCCAAAACAGGAAGAGGAAAAAUACAAGAUGGUUUGGUAAGAAAGCAAAAAUAGAAAGAGUCCCAAAUUUUUAAAAAUAAAAAUAAAAUCAAAACCAAAAACCACAGGCUGCAUUUAUCUGAGAAGCGAGAAAGUGAAGGAAGCAAUUUAAACUAGAACGAUGCAAAAGUGGCAGGCGGCACAGGGAGCUCCCACUGCCUUCCCCAGCAGGACUGCAAGGGUGGGAGGAUCCAUUCAAACCAAGCACCUCCAAGCUUGGCAAAGGAUUGCUCUCUGAAUGACGCCAGGCCUCACCCAGCUGCUUGGAAACAAGCUUGCAUGAAGGUAGGAGGGAAAGGAUUGCAGAGAACCUGCUGGCGUGCUUCUUCCCUAUCUGAGUUUGAAUGCUUCUCAGAGAACUUUAAAGGCUGACGGCUAAAUUUAAUCAGAGUUAAAUCAUUGAAAUGAAGAUGUUCUCAUGCAAUACAAAUGAAAAGUGAUUCUGCCAGUGCUUUCCCUAUAAGGCAAUGAAUGGUACAGGCUCCUAAGGAGCAGCCCAGCAGUUUGGAAAUGUUAUGAAUUCAGGGGAGGCAGGAAAUGUGAAAGUCUGGUUCAUUGCUACUAUUGUCUUCCGGGGAUUUUUGGCCUGGAGGUGAAACAGGCAGGGUUUUACAGCUGGUAUUGUGCAAUGACUGAGCACUUGCUCGCUCCCAGUUCAGUAAAAUUCUUCAUACAUGGCAUCCUAACUACAUUAUUUCAGACAGCUGUUUUCUCUAAGGAACUCCAAAUAUUUUCUGCAAAGGCACUUACAUAAACCUUACAACCGUGGACUUAGACUGAAUGAAACAUUAGUUUGUUGUUUCAAGACAGUUUGGCAAUCUGAUUUGUGCCAGUUUAAUCAUUUUAGAAAAUGUACAGGUCCAGUUCUGGUUCAGACUGGCUUAUCUUCACAUGAUUUAUUUUCCAUAAAAGUAAAUGUUAAAUCAUAGUGAUAAGUCAUGUAUGCUUGAUACAAUGUGACGAGAAGAGCACUUUACCUCUGUAAGCUGUGCUUCCAAAAACCCGUAACUCCUGUCUAACCACAGGAAGAACAUUAAAUAAACCCAAAUUGAAAAACAUUCUACAGAUUACCUCACUAGUUCUCCCCAGGGUCAUCCCAAACCAGGAAAGUCUGGAAAACUGUCACAGUCCAGAGAAGCCUAAAGAGACAUGACAACUAAAUGUAAUGCAGUAUCCUGUUGAUACAUUGCUAUUGACCUUUCCUGGAACAGGAAAGGAUGCGGGGGAGAGACCAAGGCAAUCUGAAUAAAGUAUGGUCUGCAGUCAAUAGUAAUGUAUCAAUUUUGGUUCCUUAAUUGUGACAAGUAUACAUAAUAUAGGAUGUUGACAAUAAGCAAACUAGAUGUGCAAUACAUGGAAACCUUCUAUAUUCACAACUUUUCUACAGAUCUAAACUAGUCUAAAAUUAAAUGCUUAUUAAAAAAUAAAUGUCACACCUGUAAUCCCAACCCUUUGGGAGGCCAAGGCAGGAGGAUCGCUUGAGCUCAGGAGUUUGAGACCAGCCUGUGCAACAUGGUGAAACCCUGUCUCUACAAAAAAUACAAAAGUUAGCUGGGUAUGGUGGUGCACGCCUGUAGUCCCAGCUACUCUGGAGGUUGAGGUGGGAGGAUGGUUUGAGCCUGGAAGGCAGAGCUUGCAGUGAGCACAGAUUGUGCCACUAUACUCCAGCCUGGGUGACAGAGUGAGACCCUGUCUCAGAAAAAAAAAAAAAAAAAAAAAGUCAAAAGUUAGUCUCAUGAGUCUGCAAAAUCAGUAAUUUGAAUCCAUUUCAGGUUUCAAAUCAUGGUUGGUUUAGAUCCCUGUUCCUAGUGUCCUAUUUUUAUUGGAAUUUUACCAAGAGGAAAAUUGAAACAUAAAGACAGGGCUGAACACAAGGUGAGGGCUGAUGUGACAAAGGAGAAUUUCUCUUCUGGAACUCAUCUACCUGGCUCUCCACUCAAGCACCUGGCCUCUGGACAUUGCCUAAUUACCUUCUGCCAAGAUAGUGGGUAAUAAAGGAAUUUCAGGUGUUACCUUUGUAAGAGUUUAUGUAUUUUAAUGGGAUAUUAUGAAGAGAGAAAAUGGGUGCUGAGGAAUGAUUUCAGCCCCUACCCAAACAACACAGGGUAGUCACUUAGUUUUACGGCAGCGGCUAUCAUUUCUGAGACUUAAAGGCACGACUCCCUGGAGACAAUCCGGGAUAAUGUGACUUCUCAACUCACGCAUAUGAAAUACAGUCAGUGUGGGAGUGAGUCCUGGAGCCAUGACAGCAAGAGGCCAGCCUCUAAGAGAUGAUCCGUACCUUGCUUUUCGGUCUUUAAUAACUUGAGAUAUUGCUGCCAGCUACUUAACCAAGCUCUGCAACUGCUGUAAUGAGAAAGUGAUGACCUUUGGACUUACAAAGUCCUGCACUCAAGUCCCCCAUGUCCAAAUUUGCCACUUCCUGGAUGUGUGGCCCAGGUCAGCCUACUUAAUCUUGCUGAUAUUCCAGUUUUUCAUCAGGAACAAGGCUGAUCAUAAUACUACCUUGAAGGAUUGCUGUGAGGACUAGCUAGAGGGAUUGUGUGAGAGUCCCUUGCCCAAUGUCUGGAACACAGCUGGGCGCAGUGGCUCACGCCCGUAAUCCCAGCACUUUGGGACGCCGAGGUGGGUGGAUCAUGAGAUCAGGAGUUCGAGACCAGCCUGGCCAACAUGGUGAAACCCGUCCUGAAUAAAAAUACAAAAACUAGCCAGGCGUGGUGGCACACGCCUGUAAUCCCAGCUACUCUGGAGGCUGAAGCAGGAGAAUCACUUGAACCUGGGAGGCGAACUUUGCAGUGAGCUGAGAUUGUGCCACUGCACUCCAGCCUGGGCGACAGAGCAAGACUCCAUCUCGAAAAAAUAUAAAUAAAUAAAUAAAUAAAGUAUUGCAUUAAAAUAGUC